This 84-nucleotide transfer RNA is filed under the name Candidatus Curtissbacteria bacterium RIFCSPLOWO2_01_FULL_42_26. RNAcentral describes it as "tRNA-Leu". It matches the Rfam family "tRNA". Rfam says of the family: Transfer RNA (tRNA) molecules are approximately 80 nucleotides in length. Their secondary structure includes four short double-helical elements and three loops (D, anti-codon, and T loops). The record is from RNAcentral. Lineage: Bacteria; Candidatus Curtissiibacteriota.
GGGCAAGUGGCGGAACUGGCAGACGCGUAGCUCUCAAAAAGCUAUGAUCGCAAGAUCAUGUGGGUUCGACUCCCACCUUGCCCA